This 791-nucleotide ribosomal RNA is filed under the name uncultured Prevotella sp. RNAcentral describes it as "bacterial SSU rRNA". It matches the Rfam family "Bacterial small subunit ribosomal RNA", at positions 92 to 886 of the family's 1533-position model. The record is from RNAcentral. Lineage: Bacteria; Pseudomonadati; Bacteroidota; Bacteroidia; Bacteroidales; Prevotellaceae.
CGACCGGCGCACGGGUGAGUAACACGUAUCCACCUUCCGGUAACUCCGGUAUAGCCUUUCGAAAGAAAGAUUAAUCCCGGAUAGUAUGGUGAUUCCGCAUGGUUUUUCCAUUAAAGGAUUCCGGUUACCGAUGGGGAUGCGUUCCAUUAGGCAGUUGGCGGGGUAACGGCCCACCAAACCUACGAUGGAUAGGGGUUCUGAGAGGAAGGUCCCCCACAUUGGAACUGAGACACGGUCCAAACUCCUACGGGAGGCAGCAGUGAGGAAUAUUGGUCAAUGGGCGGAAGCCUGAACCAGCCAAGUAGCGUGAAGGAUGACUGCCCUAUGGGUUGUAAACUUCUUUUAUAAGGGAAUAAUUGCGGGUACGCGUACCCGUUUGCAUGUACCUUAUGAAUAAGGAUCGGCUAACUCCGUGCCAGCAGCCGCGGUAAUACGGAGGAUCCGAGCGUUAUCCGGAUUUAUUGGGUUUAAAGGGAGCGUAGGCGGGCGCUUAAGUCAGCUGUGAAAGUUUGGGGCUCAACCUUAAAAUUGCAGUUGAUACUGGGUGCCUUGAGUGCAGUAUAGGCAGGCGGAAUUCGUGGUGUAGCGGUGAAAUGCUUAGAUAUCACGAAGAACUCCUAUUGCGAAGGCAGCUUGCUGGAGUGUAACUGACGCUGAUGCUCNGAAGUGUGGGUAUCAAACAGGAUUAAAUACCCUGGUAGUCCACACAGUAAACGAUGAAUACUCGCUGUUUGCGAUAUACUGCAAGCGGCCAAGCGAAAGCGUUAAGUAUUCCACCUGGGGAGUACGCC